GACGAACGCUGGCGGCGUGCUUAACACAUGCAAGUCAUGGGGGGCCCGCAAGGGCAACCGGCGAACGGGUGCGUAACACGUGAGCGACCUGCCGAGUACCGGGGGAUAGCCGGCCCAACGGCCGGGUAAUACCGCAUAUGCUUCCUGCGGGGCAUCUCGUGGGAAGGAAACCUCCGGGGGUAUUCGAGGGGCUCGCGGCCUAUCAGCUAGUUGGUGGGGUAAUGGCCCACCAAGGCGACGACGGGUAGCUGGCUGAGAGGAUGGCCAGCCACAUUGGGACUGAGAGACGGCCCAGACUCCUACGGGAGGCAGCAGUGGGGAAUCUUGCGCAAUGGUCUAACGACUGACGCAGCGACGCCGCGUGUGGGAGGACGCUCUUCGGGUGUAAACCACUGUUGCCCGGGACGAACAUCCGCUUUCGAGCGGACUGACGGUACCGGGUGAGGAAGCACCGGCUAACUCUGUGCCAGCCGCCGCCGUAAU
This 483-nucleotide ribosomal RNA is filed under the name uncultured bacterium. RNAcentral's name for it is "bacterial SSU rRNA". It matches the Rfam family "Bacterial small subunit ribosomal RNA", at positions 28 to 524 of the family's 1533-position model. The record is from RNAcentral.